RNAcentral lists this transfer RNA (74 nucleotides) under Nanobdellota archaeon. Its description in RNAcentral is "tRNA-Lys". It matches the Rfam family "tRNA". Rfam says of the family: Transfer RNA (tRNA) molecules are approximately 80 nucleotides in length. Their secondary structure includes four short double-helical elements and three loops (D, anti-codon, and T loops). The record is from RNAcentral. Lineage: Archaea; Nanobdellati; Nanobdellota.
GGCUUGGUAGCUCAGCCUGGCAGAGCACUAGACUUUUAAUCUAGGUGUCGCGGGUUCAAAUCCCGUCCAGGCCA